This 301-nucleotide ribosomal RNA is filed under the name uncultured bacterium. Its description in RNAcentral is "partial 16S ribosomal RNA". It matches the Rfam family "Bacterial small subunit ribosomal RNA", at positions 509 to 807 of the family's 1533-position model. The record is from RNAcentral.
CAGUAGCCGCGGUAAAACGGAGGGCGCGAGCGUUACCCGGAUUUACUGGGCGUAAAGGGCGUGUAGGCGGCCUGGGGCGUCCCAUGUGAAAGGCCACGGCUCAACCGUGGAGGAGCGUGGGAUACGCUCAGGCUAGAGGGUGGGAGAGGGUGGUGGAAUUCCCGGAGUAGCGGUGAAAUGCGCAGAUACCGGGAGGAACGCCGAUGGCGAAGGCAGCCACCUGGUCCACUUCUGACGCUGAGGCGCGAAAGCGUGGGGAGCAAACCGGAUUAGAUACCCGAGUAGUCCCUGUCUCUUAUAC